This 670-nucleotide ribosomal RNA is filed under the name uncultured Acidobacteriota bacterium. Its description in RNAcentral is "bacterial SSU rRNA". It matches the Rfam family "Bacterial small subunit ribosomal RNA", at positions 56 to 702 of the family's 1533-position model. The record is from RNAcentral. Lineage: Bacteria; Pseudomonadati; Acidobacteriota.
UGCAAGUUGAGCGGUAAGGCCCCUUCGGGGGUACACGAGCAGCGAACGGGUGAGUAUCGCGUGGGUAAUCUACCUCGAGGUGGGGGAUAGCCCCGGGAAACCGGGGGUAAUACCGCAUGAGUCCUCGAUGACAUAAGUCGACAAGGGGAAAGGCGGGGAUCCUUCGGGACCUGUCGCCUUGGGAUGAGCCCGCGUCCGAUUAGCUUGUUGGUGGGGUAAUGGCCUACCAAGGCAACGAUCGGUAGCCGGCCUGAGAGGGUGAACGGCCACAUUGGGACUGAGACACGGCCCAGACUCCUACGGGAGGCAGCAGUGGGGAAUUUUGGGCAAUGGGGGAAACCCUGACCCAGCGACGCCGCGUGGAGGAUGACGGCCUUCGGGUUGUAAACUCCUGUCAGGUGGGAAGAAGAGCUUAUCGGUUAAUACCCGAUAGGAAUUGACGGUACCACCAAAGGAAGCCCCGGCUAACUCCGUGCCAGCAGCCGCGGUAAUACGGAGGGGGCAAGCGUUAUUCGGAUUUACUGGGCGUAAAGCGCACGUAGGUGGCAUGGUAAGUCAAAGGUGAAAGCCCUCGGCUCAACCGAGGAAUUGCCUUUGAAACUGCUUUGCUUGAGUCCGGGAGGGGGGAGCGGAAUUCCCAGUGUAGCGGUGAAAUGCGUAGAUACUGGGA